Long non-coding RNA from Betta splendens (Siamese fighting fish), 973 nucleotides. RefSeq lists it as uncharacterized. The transcript is spliced from 4 exons. NCBI's taxonomy places the organism in Eukaryota, Metazoa, Chordata, Actinopteri, Anabantiformes, Osphronemidae. The record is from RefSeq and is a predicted model, not a curated record.
UCAGAACAGAACAGCUUUUCUUUACAGUUGCUGCUGUCUGAAAAAGUGAGAGUGGCCUCUGACCUCUGGUCUAAAAUCAGCUAUGAUUCAUCCCAGUUUGAUGAGGAAGGCAGUCACCAGCUGUGAAGGGCGACCUGUAUGUCAGAACGGGACACCUGCUGUCAGAUCACGUUGCUCAGGACACCUCAGGUCUGUCUUUGACGUGCUGUUUUAGAGUGGAGGGGAUUCCUUGUGCUUGUGUGCCUGCAGAAAGUACAGUACGCAGCACUGGAAACAGGUCCGACCUUCACAAGCAGGCGACCUGAGGAUGAACCUACUACUCAUGUGGUGCACGCUGGUUCUGUUUCUCUGUUUGAGCAGUGAAGAAAUGGCUGAGGCGAAAAGAGAACCAGCAAUUGGACAUUUGUAUGGUGUGAAGAAAGGACAAUACAACGCCAGAAACUCUAAAAGACACUCAGACGGGACCUUCACCAGUGACUUCGCCCGCUACCUUGAUAAGAUCAAGGCUAAGGAUUUCGUGGAGUGGCUGACCAGCACCAAGCGAGAAGGAUGUCAUGAAGAGCAGUUUCACGUUGCAGCAGGUGUGUAAGAUGAUUGCGCUGCCAUGGUCGUCGCUGCAUGCUGUCAUUCAGUAGCGUAUGGAAAGUCCUCAGCAUUAAUAUGGAACGACCGGCCACUUUGUUUAUUGUGUUUUUGGAUAAAUGUCAAUGUCUUAAUUAUUUUUUUUCCAAAGCCAUUAUUUGCUUUUUUAAAUCAGUAGUAAAAAUGUGAUGAAAAAAACAGUACAAUAACUAAUUUUUUUAAUAUUGUUAAUAUUAUUAAUUAUUAUUUUAAUAUUUAGUAAUAUUUAGUAUUGUGAAUUCACUGGCACAGCUUCAGUGUUGUCAUGCACGGAAAUGUAUUUAAUUUAGAAUUUUAGAAUACAAUUUUCAAAAAUCAAAUUCAAAAUCAGCAAUAAAAAAUGUUACACGUU